This 415-nucleotide ribosomal RNA is filed under the name uncultured prokaryote. RNAcentral describes it as "bacterial SSU rRNA". It matches the Rfam family "Bacterial small subunit ribosomal RNA", at positions 505 to 918 of the family's 1533-position model. The record is from RNAcentral.
GUGCCAGCCGCCGCGGUAAUACGGGGGGUGCGAGCGUUGUUCGGAAUUAUUGGGCGUAAAGAGCGUGUAGGCGGCUGGACAAGUCAGAUGUGAAAGCCCUGGGCUUAACCCAGGAAGUGCAUUUGAAACUGUCCGGCUCGAGUAGGGGAGAGGAAAGUGGAAUUCCUGGUGUAGAGGUGAAAUUCGUAGAUAUCAGGAGGAACACCGGUGGCGAAGGCGACUUUCUGGCCCUAUACUGACGCUGAGACGCGAGAGCGUGGGUAGCAAACAGGAUUAGAUACCCUGGUAGUCCACGCUGUAAACGAUGUUCACUAGGUGUUGGGGGUAUUGACCCCCUCAGUGCCGCAGCUAACGCAUUAAGUGAACCGCCUGGGGAGUACGGUCGCAAGAUUAAAACUCAAAGGAAUUGACGGGG